GCCAGGAUAGCUCAAUUGGUAGAGCACUCGACUUGUAAUCGAGUGGUUGCGGGUUCGAUUCCCGCUCCUGGCUCCA
RNAcentral lists this transfer RNA (76 nucleotides) under Methanobacteriota archaeon. Its description in RNAcentral is "Euryarchaeota archaeon tRNA-Thr". It matches the Rfam family "tRNA". Rfam says of the family: Transfer RNA (tRNA) molecules are approximately 80 nucleotides in length. Lineage: Archaea; Methanobacteriati; Methanobacteriota. The record is from RNAcentral.